Molecule: unclassified non-coding RNA, 250 nt
Filed under: Hevea brasiliensis (rubber tree)
Lineage: Eukaryota; Viridiplantae; Streptophyta; Magnoliopsida; Malpighiales; Euphorbiaceae
Source: RNAcentral
AUAAUUUUCAGAGAAAAUGACAAUGGCAAUUUCUGAGUUUUCAAUUGCUGAAAAGAUUGCUUCAAUGAUUUUUUCUCCUCCUCUAACUUCAAUUUUGUCCACGAAGGUGGUAAUCGACUUUCGAGAUAAAGCAGCAUAAAGAUGACUGGUGAAAUUAACGCGAGUAUCUUUGCCACUAAAACUCAGAAAAACAUCAAAUCGGCGAUGGGUGAUAUGGGAAGCCAUUAGAACACUUGAUGGAUGCUGCAAU